Molecule: long non-coding RNA, 1267 nt
Organism: Carassius gibelio (silver crucian carp)
Lineage: Eukaryota; Metazoa; Chordata; Actinopteri; Cypriniformes; Cyprinidae
Exons: 6
Source: RefSeq, a predicted model, not a curated record
GCAACCCAUUCUCACUCCAAAGGCGUCAAAAACCGAAGCAUGGUCAAGCGCCCCUAGCGUCACUUUUAUGACGCCAAAUGUGCCUCUCGGCGUCGAAUAUCGAAGCACUACGACCUUCAUUGCUUUCAAUGGGAAACUUUUGGCGUCAGAAUUCGACACGAGGACAUGAGAUGUUUAUCGCUAUGAAAUCACGUUCAAGAAGUCUCAUUCAGCACACAUCGCGAUACUUGCUAUCAGUUCCACAGUUUGGCUGAAAAGACGUAAAGGCAGUCAGCCCAGUGGUGUUUCUGGAGAGGGAUUCCUUGAGAAAUGGAGAAGACAGAAAGCUGUGGAGGCAGAUAUAUGCAGCAGUAAGUAUGUGAUAGUUUGUCCCUUUUAUCAAACAUUCCUGCUGUUAUAAUUUGUACAGCAUUUGUUGUUUCUUAAACUGUUGCACUGUCCAAAUACCCACACUUGCCAUCUUUGCACUUGACCACUUGAUUACUUAUUUGACGUCUUUCCUGUAUUUUGCCUAGUGUUCGAGUGAGCAUGAUGACCACAAGUGUGUGUCGAACUUUUCAUGACCUGAUGACUGUGUUUCCCAGUCCUGAUCCUGGAGAAGCCCAGCACUGCACGGUUUUGGUGUCUCUCUUAUCUGCCUUGGAGUCUUCACUGAUGAGCUGAUGAGUUGAAUCAGGUCUAAAAUAUCAAGCUCAACAGCUCACUCAAGAGCCAACCCUCACAAACCUUCCUAAAAACUAAAAGAGCUAUUACUGAGUCUCAGCGAAUCUUGCCAUGAUCAGCUCUUCCCAGAAGAGAAGGAAGACCAAGGAAAGGAUUUGCUCAGGAUGAGGAAUGAAGACGGCCAUCUUGUGCUCAAACAAACAGAAGUCCUCUGAUGAUCUCAUCAGCCAAAUGAGGGGUUUUGACCAAGUGAUGCUCUUGAAAGGAGUGAAAGAAGAGGAUGUGCUAAAUUCUCUUCAGAGAAAAAGCUUCUCAAAAGGUCUCAAAACAGCUUGAAGAAUGGUCUGGGAUCUUAGGACUGAGAGAUCCUCUGGCUGAGAACAAGCUACACCACAUCAGUGCUGGAUAUCAACCACAAACUGUUUCCAGACAUGAGAGAAGAACACGAUGGGGAGAUGAAACCAGUUUAGAUGUGAUGAUGGGAAUCAUUAUUUUCUGGAACAGUAUCUCAUGUCUUAUAUGUAUCACAUGAUCUGUAUCACAGUUGACUGGAUGGGACUGUGUGACUUUUAAGGACAUUUCAUCACUCAUCUGUGUGAACUUU